RNAcentral lists this ribosomal RNA (484 nucleotides) under uncultured bacterium. RNAcentral describes it as "partial 16S ribosomal RNA". It matches the Rfam family "Bacterial small subunit ribosomal RNA", at positions 29 to 507 of the family's 1533-position model. The record is from RNAcentral.
AGUGAACGCUGGCGGCAGGCCUAACACAUGCAAGUCGAGCGGCAGCGGGUCCUUCGGGAUGCCGGCGAGCGGCGGACGCGUGAGGAAUGCGCCGGAAUCUGCUUUCUUGUGGGUGAUAAUGAAGGGAAACUUACGCUAAUACCGCAUACGACCUACGGGUGAAAGAGGGGGACCGCAAGGCAUCUCGCAGAAAGAUGAGCCGACGCGGGAUUAGUUAGUUGGCGGGGUAAAGGCCCACUAAGGCGACGAUCCGCAGCUGGCCUGAGAGGAUGAUCAGCCACACUGGAACGGAGACACGGUCCAGACUCCUACGGGAGGCAGCAGUGGGGAAUAUGGGACAAUGGGCGCAAGCCUGAUCCAGCCAUGCCGCGUGUGUUAAAAAGGCCUUCGGGUUGUAAAGCACGUUUGUCCGGAAAGAAAUCCUGUCGGCUAAUACCCGGCGGGGAUGACGGUACCGGAAGAAUAAGCACCGGCUAACUUCGUG